GGGGAAUUAGCUCAGCUGGGAGAGCGCCGCCUUUGCACGGCGGAGGUCAGGGGUUCGAAUCCCCUAUUCUCCA
RNAcentral lists this transfer RNA (73 nucleotides) under Candidatus Entotheonella factor. Its description in RNAcentral is "Candidatus Entotheonella sp. TSY1 tRNA". It matches the Rfam family "tRNA". From Rfam's summary of the family: Transfer RNA (tRNA) molecules are approximately 80 nucleotides in length. Their secondary structure includes four short double-helical elements and three loops (D, anti-codon, and T loops). Further hydrogen bonds mediate the characteristic L-shaped molecular structure. tRNAs have two regions of fundamental functional importance: the anti-codon, which is responsible for specific mRNA codon recognition, and the 3' end, to which the tRNAs corresponding amino acid is attached (by aminoacyl-tRNA synthetases). tRNAs cope with the degeneracy of the genetic code in two manners: having more than one tRNA (with a specific anti-codon) for a particular amino acid; and 'wobble' base-pairing, i.e. permitting non-standard base-pairing at the 3rd anti-codon position. The record is from Rfam by way of RNAcentral. RNAcentral also lists the same sequence under 3 other names. Lineage: Bacteria; Pseudomonadati; Candidatus Tectimicrobiota; Candidatus Entotheonellia; Candidatus Entotheonellales; Candidatus Entotheonellaceae.